Molecule: long non-coding RNA, 1174 nt
Filed under: Marmota monax (woodchuck)
Lineage: Eukaryota; Metazoa; Chordata; Mammalia; Rodentia; Sciuridae
Source: RNAcentral
CGGAGAAUGAACGCUACUGUCAACUACAGACUCUACUAAAAAAUGUAUGAAAAUUAGCCGGGCGCAGUGGAGCACGCCUGUAAUCCCAGCGGCUCGGGAGGCUGAGGCAGGAGGAUCACGAGUUUGAGGUCAGCCUCAGCAAUGUAGUGAGACUACGUCUCAAAAUAAGAAGUAAAAAGACCAAACAAAAGUCACACGCAGCACACCUUUCACUGUGUCUCUGUUAACGGCAUUUUCUUAUUUUCUUCAUUCAGAUGUCAGCUACCUACCUGUCUAGCUGAUUCCUAGAGAUGGAAACCACUCGCCUUCAAACGGACUCACAUGCAAACCUUCCAGAGCCCACACCCCAACACCUCUGUUAUCAGGCUCACACUGGACCAUGGUCCACCGGUCCCCCAUCACCCCAGGAACAGACCUCCGGAAGCCCGCCACACCCGAAGCCCACUAAAACUACUCAGGCUGGCCAGCUAGGCUUCUCACCUGGCCUCUGCCGUUUCUCCCUUCCCAUGGAAACAGUUAAGACCCCCACCCAGCCGCCCCUGCUCUCGCCCUCUGCCUGCCCUCCCUGCAUGGGCCUGUGUGGUAAGACCUGGCCACCUCUUGAGCCCCAGCAAGGGCGUCCCCCUCCGUCUGUUGGCCUCCUCACACCUGCAUAAGAAUCAGACAUGCGUUGUAAGCAGGGCCAACCCAGGGCCCAGCACGGGGCCCAGCACUGGGCAGCUUGUCCACCUCGGGUUGUUUUCAGGGCCACAGCAAGAGAAGCAAAGAGAAGUGGGUUCACCACAGACUCAGCCAGAUCCGUGCCCUCUGCCUUCCUAGACCACAGGACGGGGGACGAGCCCCUCUCCUUUGUUCCCUGGUGAGUAAACUGAGGCCCAGACAGGGGACACUUUGCCCAAGGCGUCAGGCCAGCGAGUGGAAGCCACAGAAGCCAGCACAGGAGCCCCGCUGAGUCCCAUGCCCCACCUCCCAGCUGGGCAGAGGGGGUGCAGCCACCCACAGCCACCCAUUUUCACCCAAGCUCCCCGAGGCCCGGCCCAGGCCAGGCAGGUCACCUUCCUGCCUGCUCCUCAGGGCUGGGGCUCUCCUUAUGGGGUCCUCUAAGCGGGUGGAGAGGCGGUGAAGUUAUCAAGAAGUGCUCAGACCGGCAGCGGGAGAAAUAAAUAAAUAACCG